RNAcentral lists this small nuclear RNA (191 nucleotides) under Myotis brandtii (Brandt's bat). Its description in RNAcentral is "U2 spliceosomal RNA". It matches the Rfam family "U2 spliceosomal RNA". From Rfam's summary of the family: U2 is a small nuclear RNA (snRNA) component of the spliceosome (involved in pre-mRNA splicing). Complementary binding between U2 snRNA (in an area lying towards the 5' end but 3' to hairpin I) and the branchpoint sequence (BPS) of the intron results the bulging out of an unpaired adenosine, on the BPS, which initiates a nucleophilic attack at the intronic 5' splice site, thus starting the first of two transesterification reactions that mediate splicing. The record is from Rfam by way of RNAcentral. Lineage: Eukaryota; Metazoa; Chordata; Mammalia; Chiroptera; Vespertilionidae.
AUCGCUUCUCCGCCUUUUAGCUAAGAUUAAGUGUAGUAUCUGUUCUUAUCAGUUUAAUAUCUGUUACGUCCUCUAUCUGAGGACAAUAUAUUCAAUGGAUUUUUGGAAUUAGGAGAUGGAAUAGGAGCUUGCUCCGUCCACUCCACACAUCGACCUGGUAUUGCAGUACCUCCAGGAACGGUGCACAAAAA